CCUACGGGAGGCAGCAGUAGGGAAUAUUGCUCAAUGGGGGAAACCCUGAAGCAGCAACGCCGCGUGGAGGAUGAAGGUUUUCGGAUUGUAAACUCCUUUUGUUAGAGAAGAUAAUGACGGUAUCUAACGAAUAAGCAACGGCUAACUCCGUGCCAGCAGCCGCGGUAAUACGGAGGGUGCAGGCGUUACUCGGAAUCACUGGGCGUAAAGAGCGCGUAGGCGGGAUAGCAAGUCAGAUGUGAAAUCCUAUGGCUUAACCAUAGAACUGCAUUGGAAACUGUUAUUCUAGAGUAUGGGAGAGGUAGGUGGAAUUCUUGGUGUAGGGGUAAAAUCCGUAGAGAUCAAGAGGAAUACUCAUUGCGAAGGCGACCUGCUAGAACAUAACUGACGCUGAUGCGCGAAAGCGUGGGUAGCAAACAGGAUUAGAUACCCGUGUAGUC
This 440-nucleotide ribosomal RNA is filed under the name uncultured bacterium. RNAcentral describes it as "partial 16S ribosomal RNA". It matches the Rfam family "Bacterial small subunit ribosomal RNA", at positions 338 to 795 of the family's 1533-position model. The record is from RNAcentral.